CCGAUUUCCAUUUGUUGAAGCAUUCUACUUUGCCUAUUAUGGGAAUCAUUUGAAACAGAAACAGUAAUUUUGGUGAUACCUUGAUUGCUCUGGAUUAUCAACUUCUGGCUUUCUUUGUGGGAACAAAAAGACAGUACCAGAAAAUGCGCUACCCCAACAGAUACAAACUACAGUAUUAGCAGUGUGAAGUAGAAAUGAAAGAGGGUUAUGCAAGGAUUCUCAAAAAGCUGCAGAAAAGAUAGCAAACAGCAGUCAACCUCACAAGUGUCCAGGAAAAAUGG
Podarcis raffonei (Aeolian wall lizard) is the source of this 281-nucleotide long non-coding RNA. RefSeq lists it as uncharacterized. The transcript has 2 exons. The record is from RefSeq and is a predicted model, not a curated record. Lineage: Eukaryota; Metazoa; Chordata; Lepidosauria; Squamata; Lacertidae.